CACCUUGCUCCCAGCCAGCGGGGGCACGCAUGGCUCCAAGCCUCUCCCAGCCCUCCUUUUGAGCCCAGGAGUCCAGCCAGCUCUGCGCUUCUCCCAUGCAUCUGAUGGAUUCCAACCUGAUGAUCCGUGGCAGAGUGACCUCUAGACUUUAUACAAGUUGUAACCUCCUUCUCUUUGCCCCCUUGACUCUCUGAGGGGCAGGGAAACUGAGUCCUGGCAAGGUGGAGGGCAGCUGAAGAAAAGGACCAGAUGUCUAGCAUCCCAGCUGUUAGGCAGCCUCAGAUGUCCUAGGACAAAGGCCUCUUUCUUGGACAGGCAAGGCACCCCAGCCACAUGGCAGCCACAUACACUGGACAGACCAGGACACGUGUGUAGGAUAUCAG
Lagenorhynchus albirostris (white-beaked dolphin) is the source of this 383-nucleotide long non-coding RNA. RefSeq lists it as uncharacterized. The record is from RefSeq and is a predicted model, not a curated record. The transcript is spliced from 3 exons. Lineage: Eukaryota; Metazoa; Chordata; Mammalia; Artiodactyla; Delphinidae.